UUAUGGCUCAGUGGAGAGCACUCACCUAGCACGUGCGAGGUCCUGAGUUCGAUCCUCAGCCCCAUAUAAA
Molecule: transfer RNA, 70 nt
Filed under: Marmota monax (woodchuck)
Lineage: Eukaryota; Metazoa; Chordata; Mammalia; Rodentia; Sciuridae
Description: tRNA.Ala
Source: RNAcentral